AGUGAACGCUGGCGGUAGGCCUAACACAUGCAAGUCGAACGGCAGCACAGUAAGAGCUUGCUCUUACGGGUGGCGAGUGGCGGACGGGUGAGGAAUACAUCGGAAUCUACUUUUUCGUGGGGGAUAACGUAGGGAAACUUACGCUAAUACCGCAUACGACCUACGGGUGAAAGCAGGGGAUCUUCGGACCUUGCGCGAUUGAAUGAGCCGAUGUCGGAUUAGCUAGUUGGCGGGGUAAAGGCCCACCAAGGCGACGAUCCGUAGCUGGUCUGAGAGGAUGAUCAGCCACACGGGAACUGGGACACGGUCCAGACUCCUACGGGAGGCAGCAGUGGGGAAUAUUGGACAAUGGGCGCAAGCCUGAUCCAGCCAUACCGCGUGGGUGAAGAAGGCCUUCGGGUUGUAAAGCCCUUUUGUUGGGAAAGAAAAGCAGCAGGUUAAUACCCCGCUGUUCUGACGGUACCCAAAGAAUAAGCACCGGCUAACUUCGU
This 491-nucleotide ribosomal RNA is filed under the name uncultured bacterium. RNAcentral's name for it is "partial 16S ribosomal RNA". It matches the Rfam family "Bacterial small subunit ribosomal RNA", at positions 29 to 506 of the family's 1533-position model. The record is from RNAcentral.